RNAcentral lists this unclassified non-coding RNA (193 nucleotides) under soil metagenome. RNAcentral's name for it is "partial contains 5.8S ribosomal RNA, internal transcribed spacer 2, and large subunit ribosomal RNA". The record is from RNAcentral.
AACGCACGAGACCUGCGGACCUGCGGAAGGAUCAUUACCGAGUUAUCCAACUCCCAACCCCUGUGAAUCAUACCUUUAAUUGUUGCUUCGGCGGGACUUCGCGCCCGCCGGGGACCCAAACCUUCUGAAUUUUUUAAUAAGUAUCUUCUGAGUGGUUAAAAAAAUGAAUCAAAACUUUCAACAACGGAUCUCU